Molecule: ribosomal RNA, 304 nt
Filed under: uncultured bacterium
Lineage: Bacteria
Description: bacterial SSU rRNA
Rfam family: Bacterial small subunit ribosomal RNA (bases 48-297)
Source: RNAcentral
CCCCCGGGCCCGGGACCGGGAACCCGGGCCGACCGGUACGGGGUAGGUAACGGUAAACGUAACGUAUCGACCAACCGGCCGCCACAGGGGGAUAACCCGCGGAAACGCGGCCUAAUACCCCGUGACGCCACCGGAGGGCAUCCUCCGGUGGCCAAAGGAGCGAUCCGGUGGCGGAUGGGCAUGCGGCGCAUUAGCUAGACGGCGGGGUGACGGCCCACCGUGGCGACGAUGCGUAGGGGUUCUGAGAGGAAGGCCCCCCACACUGGGACUGAGACACGGCCCAGACUCCUACGGGAGGCAGCAG